RNAcentral lists this ribosomal RNA (423 nucleotides) under uncultured prokaryote. Its description in RNAcentral is "bacterial SSU rRNA". It matches the Rfam family "Bacterial small subunit ribosomal RNA", at positions 355 to 774 of the family's 1533-position model. The record is from RNAcentral.
UAAGGAAUAUUGGUCAAUGGACGCAAGUCUGAACCAGCCAUGCCGCGUGCAGGAAGACGGCCCUAUGGGUUGUAAACUGCUUUUGUACGGGAAAAAACCCCGGGUUUCGUACCUGGGCUGAUGGUACCGUAAGAAUAAGGAUCGGCUAACUCCGUGCCAGCAGCCGCGGUAAUACGGAGGAUCCAAGCGUUAUCCGGAUUUAUUGGGUUUAAAGGGUGCGCAGGCGGAAUGAUAAGUCAGUGGUGAAAUCCUACGGCUCAACUGUAGAACUGCCAUUGAUACUGUCAUUCUUGAGUAUAAUUGAUGUGGGCGGAAUGUGUCAUGUAGCGGUGAAAUGCUUAGAUAUGACACAGAACACCGAUCGCGAAGGCAGCUCACAAAGCUAUAACUGACGCUCAGGCACGAAAGCGUGGGGAUCAAACA